AAUGGGGGAUAACGUAGCGAAAGUUACGCUAAUACCGCAUAUGCCCUGAGGGGGAAAGGUGGGGAUCGCAAGACCUAUCGUUUUCGGAGUGGCCGAUAUCGGAUUAGCUAGUUGGUGGGGUAAAGGCUCACCAAGGCGACGAUCCGUAGCUGGUCUGAGAGGACGACCAGCCACACUGGGACUGAGACACGGCCCAGACUCCUACGGGAGGCAGCAGUGGGGAAUUUUGGACAAUGGGGGCAACCCUGAUCCAGCCAUGCCGCGUGAGUGAAGAAGGCCUUCGGGUUGUAAAGCUCUUUCGGACGGGAAGAAACGGUUACGGCUAAUACCCGUGACUAAUGACGGUACCGUAAGAAGAAGCACCGGCUAACUACGUGCCAGCAGCCGCGGUAAUACGUAGGGUGCGAGCGUUAAUCGGAAUUACUGGGCGUAAAGCGUGCGCAGGCGGUUUUGUAAGACAGACGUGAAAUCCCCGGGCUUAACCUGGGAACUGCGUUUGUGACUGCAAGGCUAGAGUGCGGCAGAGGGGGGUAGAAUUCCA
Molecule: ribosomal RNA, 541 nt
Filed under: uncultured Gallionellaceae bacterium
Lineage: Bacteria; Pseudomonadati; Pseudomonadota; Betaproteobacteria; Nitrosomonadales; Gallionellaceae
Description: bacterial SSU rRNA
Rfam family: Bacterial small subunit ribosomal RNA
Source: RNAcentral